GACGAACGCUGGCGGCGUGCCUAAUACAUGCAAGUCGAGCGAACUUGCGGGAGCUUGCUCCCAAAAGUUAGCGGCGGACGGGUGAGUAACACGUGGGCAACCUGCCUAUAAGACUGGGAUAACUUCGGGAAACCGGAGCUAAUACCGGAUAAUUCUUUUCUACACAUGUAGGAAAGCUAAAAGACGGUUUACGCUGUCACUUAUAGAUGGGCCCGCGGCGCAUUAGCUAGUUGGUGAGGUAACGGCUCACCAAGGCCACGAUGCGUAGCCGACCUGAGAGGGUGAUCGGCCACACUGGGACUGAGACACGGCCCAGACUCCUACGGGUGGCAG
Molecule: ribosomal RNA, 333 nt
Filed under: uncultured Bacillota bacterium
Lineage: Bacteria; Bacillati; Bacillota
Description: bacterial SSU rRNA
Rfam family: Bacterial small subunit ribosomal RNA
Source: RNAcentral